RNAcentral lists this ribosomal RNA (626 nucleotides) under uncultured fungus. RNAcentral's name for it is "eukaryotic LSU rRNA". It matches the Rfam family "Eukaryotic large subunit ribosomal RNA", at positions 24 to 664 of the family's 3401-position model. Lineage: Eukaryota; Fungi. The record is from RNAcentral.
CCCGCUGAACUUAAGCAUAUCAAUAAGCGGAGGAAAAGAAACUAACAAGGAUUCCCCUAGUAACUGCGAGUGAAGCGGGAAAAGCUCAAAUUUAAAAUCUGAGGGUCUUACGGCCUUCCGAGUUGUAAUCUAGAGAAGUGCUAUCCGCGCUGGACCGUGUACAAGUCUCCUGGAAUGGAGCGUCACAGAGGGUGAGAAUCCCGUCUCUGACACGGACUACCAGGGCUUUGUGGUACGCUCUCAAAGAGUCGAGUUGUUUGGGAAUGCAGCUCAAAAUGGGUGGUAAAUUCCAUCUAAAGCUAAAUAUUGGCGAGAGACCGAUAGCGAACAAGUACCGUGAGGGAAAGAUGAAAAGCACUUUGAAAAGAGAGUUAAAAAGUACGUGAAAUUGUUGAAAGGGAAGCGCUCAUGACCAGACUUGGGCUUGGUUGAUCAUCCAGGGUUCUCCCUGGUGCACUCUUCCAGCCCAGGCCAGCAUCAGUUCGCUGUGGGGGAUAAAGGCUUCGGGAAUGUGGCUCCUCCGGGAGUGUUAUAGCCCGCUGCGUAAUACCCUGUGGUGGACUGAGGUUCGCGCAUCUGCAAGGAUGCUGGCGUAAUGGUCAUCAGCGACCCGUCUUGAAACACGG